UGUAUCUUUAAAAGUUAGUCUAAAAAGGUACAGCCUUUUAGAAAUGGAUACAACCUUCACUAGAGAGUAAGAUCUAAAAAUACCAUAGUAGGCCUAAAAGCAGCCAUCAAUUAAGAAAGCGUUAAAGCUCAACAACAAUAGUAUUAUUAAUCCCAGCAAUAACAUUAACCAACUCCUAGAUUUAAUACUGGACUAUUCUAUUACUAAUUAGAAGCAAUAUGGUAAUAAUAAGUAACAAGAAAUAUUUUCUCCUCGCACAAGUUUAAGUCAGUAGCUGAUAAUACCCUGACCGUUAACAGUAAAUAAAAAUAACCCAACAAUAAAUGAUUUAUUACUUAUACUGUUAACCCAACACAGGAGUGCACC
This 366-nucleotide ribosomal RNA is filed under the name Ovis aries (sheep). RNAcentral describes it as "partial large subunit ribosomal RNA". Lineage: Eukaryota; Metazoa; Chordata; Mammalia; Artiodactyla; Bovidae. The record is from RNAcentral.